AGCAGCCGCGGUAAUUCCAGCUCCAAUAGCGUAUAUUAAAGUUGUUGCAGUUAAAAAGCUCGUAGUUGAAUUUCGGGGUCAGUAGGUCGGUCGUGCCAACGGUAUGAACUGGUUUCACUGAUUCCUCCCUCUUGUAGAACCGUGAUGCCAUUAAUUUGGUGUUGCGGGAAAACAGGACUGUUACUUUGAAAAAUUAGAGUGUUUAAAGCAAGCUAACGCUUGAAUACAUUAGCAUGGAAUAAUGAAAUAGGACGUCGAUCUUAUUUUGUUGGUUUCUAGGGUUGACGUAAUGAUUAAUAGGGAUAGUUGGGGGCAUUAGUAUUCAAUUGUCAGAGGUGAAAUUCUUGGAUUUAUUGAAGGCUAACUACUGCGAAAGCAUUUGCCAAGGAUGUUUUCAUUAAUCAAGAACGAAAGUUAGGGGAUCGAAGACGAUCAGAUACCGUCGUAGUCUUAACCAUAAACUAUGCCGACUAGGGAUCGGAUGAUUG
RNAcentral lists this ribosomal RNA (488 nucleotides) under uncultured Glomus. Its description in RNAcentral is "SSU rRNA". It matches the Rfam family "Eukaryotic small subunit ribosomal RNA", at positions 569 to 1063 of the family's 1831-position model. Lineage: Eukaryota; Fungi; Glomeromycota; Glomeromycetes; Glomerales; Glomeraceae. The record is from RNAcentral.